UACAGAGGCCUCAAGCGUUUGUUCGGAAUUACUGGGCGUAAAGGGAAUGUAGGCGGUGGCGUAAGUCAGAUGUGAAAGCCCUGGGCUUAACCUGGGAAGUGCAUUUGAUACUGCGUCACUCGAGUGUGGAAGAGGAAAGCGGAAUUCCAGGUGUAGGGGUGAAAUCCGUAGAUAUCUGGAGGAAUACCGAUGGCGAAGGCAGCUUUCGUCGAUAC
RNAcentral lists this ribosomal RNA (215 nucleotides) under uncultured bacterium. RNAcentral's name for it is "partial 16S ribosomal RNA". It matches the Rfam family "Bacterial small subunit ribosomal RNA", at positions 524 to 740 of the family's 1533-position model. The record is from RNAcentral.